Long non-coding RNA from Etheostoma spectabile (orangethroat darter), 232 nucleotides. RefSeq lists it as uncharacterized. The transcript has 3 exons. Lineage: Eukaryota; Metazoa; Chordata; Actinopteri; Perciformes; Percidae. The record is from RefSeq and is a predicted model, not a curated record.
UCGGCCAACUCACACUUCCCUCUCCACGUCCUGCCCCUGCAUCCAUGCUUGUCAGGGUUAUAUUGGGUAAAUAAAUUAGCACAGUGCCCCACUCUGCUAAUGAGGACACGGUCACAUGACAGGCCUUUUCCUACGCUUAAGUUAAGCAGUUUUAGGGAUCGAUACCAUUAUCUCCUCAGCACAAGAGUCAAUGGAACCUGUUGUGAGACCUGCUGGACUGAAGCACAAGUCA